Molecule: long non-coding RNA, 1145 nt
Filed under: Homo sapiens (human)
Lineage: Eukaryota; Metazoa; Chordata; Mammalia; Primates; Hominidae
Description: nuclear paraspeckle assembly transcript 1
Rfam family: Nuclear enriched abundant transcript 1 conserved region 3 (bases 138-296)
Source: RNAcentral
GCGGCACCUAGCAUGUUUGACAGGCGGGGACUGCGAGGCACGCUGCUCGGGUGUUGGGGACAACAUUGACCAACGCUUUAUUUUCCAGGUGGCAGUGCUCCUUUUGGACUUUUCUCUAGGUUUGGCGCUAAACUCUUCUUUGUUCCUCAUGGCGAGCAGAUGGAACCGGGAGACAUGGAGUCCCUGGCCAGUGUGAGUCCUAGCAUUGCAGGAGGGGAGACCCUGGAGGAGAGAGCCCGCCUCAAUUGAUGCCUGCAGAUUGAAUUUCCAGAGGCUUAGGAGGAGGAAGUUCUCCAAUGUUCUGUUUCCAGGCCUUGCUCAGGAAGCCCUGUAUUCAGGAGGCUACCAUUUAAAGUUUGCAGAUGAGCUUAUGGGGGGCAAUCUUAAAAAGUCCACAGCAGAUGCAUCCGGCUCGAGGGGCCAUCAGCUUUGAAUAAAUGCUUGUUCCAGAGCCCAUGAAUGCCAGCAGGCACCCCUCCUUUCCUGGGGUAAAGGUUUUCAGAUGCUGCAUCUUCUAAAUUGAGCCUCCGGUCAUACUAGUUUUGUGCUUGGAACCUUGCUUCAAGAAGAUCCCUAAGCUGUAGAACAUUUUAACGUUGAUGCCACAACGCAGAUUGAUGCCUUGUAGAUGGAGCUUGCAGAUGGAGCCCCGUGACCUCUCACCUACCCACCUGUUUGCCUGCCUUCUUGUGCGUUUCUCGGAGAAGUUCUUAGCCUGAUGAAAUAACUUGGGGCGUUGAAGAGCUGUUUAAUUUUAAAUGCCUUAGACUGGGGAUAUAUUAGAGGAAGCAGAUUGUCAAAUUAAGGGUGUCAUUGUGUUGUGCUAAACGCUGGGAGGGUACAAGUUGGUCAUUCCUAAAUCUGUGUGUGAGAAAUGGCAGGUCUAGUUUGGGCAUUGUGAUUGCAUUGCAGAUUACUAGGAGAAGGGAAUGGUGGGUACACCGGUAGUGCUCUUUUGUUCUUGCUUCGUUUUUUUAAACUUGAACUUUACUUCGUUAGAUUUCAUAAUACUUUCUUGGCAUUCUAGUAAGAGGACCCUGAGGUGGGAGUUGUGGGGGACGGGGAGAAGGGGACAGCUUGGCACCGGUCCCGUGGGCGUUGCAGUGUGGGGGAUGGGGGUAUGCAGCUUGGCACUGGUACUGGGA